UCGUUCGGGGAUGUUUGGGUCCCUCUUCAUGGGGUGGAAGCGUAGCUGCUACGAAAACAUAUGCCGAUUCGGAAUCUGGCUCUGGAGCGGCGGCAAAACCGGCGCCAUUCACAGCAUCAGCGAGCGCUACAACGUCAAGGCGGCCGUCAUCUCGGCGGUCGAUGUGAUUAAAGGGCUCGGACACUGCAUGGGACUGGAUGUCAUCGAGGUACCGGGGGCCACCGGCUAUAUCGACACCAACUAUCGAGGCAAAGGCGAGGCGGCCGUUGCGUUACUGCAGGUGGAGCGGGAUUCUACGUGAUUACCUUAGGUCCGCUUUUUUGGCAUACUUAAGUUUAAUCGCCCCUUAAGUCCCUAACUUUAGCGUAAGCCACUAAAUGCGUUAAGGAGAGGGUACUCUCUUAGAGUCCCUUACAGGUUUGAGUGGGUAAGAAGAGUUUAUCGUCCCACCAGUUUGGCGAAAGUGGGCAAUUUUUGUUACUAUUUUUUCUACCGAUAAUCUCUAAAGAUCUGCUUCUAACCGAAGCCGCACAAACCUAGUUAUUACUAACGAAAAUUUACCAGUUCUUUAUAGAACCGGAGGCUAACUACGGGUCUUUAAUGUAUCCUUUUACGUUUUGAUUAAGUUCGGAAACUUAUGCCUAAGUUUUGAUUCAGUUCGGAAACUUACACAUAAGUUUUAAUUUAAUUACUCACGUCCUGCAAUUGGGCCGUGGGGAGGCUUACUGCUGUUUUUCGUUAGUAGACCGUAUGAAAUCUGACACUGGUGGAUGGGUAGAAUAUACUAAGGCGAUGGAAUAAUAUAGUUGAAGGAACUCGGCAAAAUGACUCUGUAACUUCGGGAUAAGGAGGGCAGUAGCAUAUAGUACGAUCCCUGGGUCUCUAGAUACCUGUUUACAUACGCCCACUCCUUAAAAAAAGAGUUACUUUGCGGCCAAAGAAUUUUUCAAGUAAUUCUAGAAAAAUUCGGAGGCUAGUAAAAUGUAAACGGAUUAUCUGAUGAGACCAUUUUCCCGCAAUUUAAUAAAUACCCCUUUACGGGACGUUUAUUAAGUUUAGAUAAGGGUGGUUUUUACUUAUGGCACUGCAACUAAAAAGAGGAGGUGGCGACUGUUUACUAAAAACACAGGACUCUGCUAAAUUGUAAAAUGAUGUAUAGAGUCUGACGCCUGCCCAGUGCUGCAAGAUGAACUAUUACAGGUUUCGCCUGUUGAUAUAAGUCCCAGUAAACGGCGGCUGUAACCCUGACGGUCCGAAGGUAGCGAAAUUCAUUGGCGGGUAAGUUCCGUCCUGCAUGAAUGGCGUAACGACUGCCUCACUGUCUCCAGCUAUAAUCCAGUGAAAUUGAAGAAUAGGUGAAAAUGCCUAAUAAGAACAGCGGGACGGAAAGACCCUAUGCACCUUUACUAGAACCUUGUAUUACUUCAUAUGUCUACCGUGACGCGGUAGGGUAAUUGCCCCGUGACCGUGUGCGAACAGCGUUGAAGUUUAAUGGCAACCAAACGUGCUAUUAAAUUAGCUAAUUGUCAUUAUAGUGCAAGGAUGCUAGUUUCACUGGGGCGGUGACCUCCUAAAAAGUAACGGGGGUGUGCAAAGGUUUAGUAAAGCAUACUUGGAUGCGUUCAUUGCAAUGGAUUUAACUAAGCUUGAUUUCAGAAUCUACAGAUUUUGAAAGGGCAAGUAACAUUGCCUGCCAUAGUGACCCGAUAGUUUCAAUCCAUUGACAGAGCUAUCGAUUAACGAAUAAAAGGUACGCUAGGGAUAACAGGCUAAUAACUCCCAAGAGUUCCCAUCGACGGAGUUGGUUGGCACCUCGAUGUCGGCUCAUCAUAUCCUGGUUGAGAAUAAUCUUCCAAGGGUCGGUCUGUUCUACCGUUAAAAUGGUACGUGAGCUGGGUUUAGAACGUCGUGAGACAGUUUGGUCCCUAUCUGCUGUUAAGAGGAAAAUACGUAGAAUCUUGCCUUAGUACGAGAGGACUGGGAUGGACUAAUCAAUGGUUUAGCAGUUGUCUUUUUUCAGGCACGCUGCAAAGCUACAUUGGGAAAAGAUAAUCGCUGAAGUCAAUAUAAAGCGAGAAGCUUCACUACAAGUUUUCGUAUAGGUGAAUCAUAGAUCAUGAGUACAAUAUAUGUUUUGGAUGAGCGGUUUUUAAAUCCCGGAGUUUAAAAUUAUACAACACCAAACCUACGAUAUAAUUAUUUCUU
Molecule: ribosomal RNA, 2205 nt
Filed under: marine metagenome
Description: bacterial LSU rRNA
Rfam family: Bacterial large subunit ribosomal RNA
Source: RNAcentral